This 253-nucleotide ribosomal RNA is filed under the name uncultured bacterium. Its description in RNAcentral is "partial 16S ribosomal RNA". It matches the Rfam family "Bacterial small subunit ribosomal RNA", at positions 524 to 776 of the family's 1533-position model. The record is from RNAcentral.
UACGUAGGUGGCGAGCGUUGUCCGGAUUUACUGGGCGUAAAGAGCGCGCAGGCGGUCGUACAAGUCGCGUGUGAAAGCCCCUGGCUCAACUGGGGAGGGUCACGCGAUACUGUUCGACUCGAAGGCAGGAGAGGGUAGUGGAAUUCCCGGUGUAGUGGUGAAAUGCGUAGAUAUCGGGAGGAACACCGGUGGCGAAGGCGGCAUCCUGGACCAAUAUUGACGCUGAGGAGCGAAAGCUAGGGGAGCAAACGGG